This 497-nucleotide ribosomal RNA is filed under the name uncultured bacterium. RNAcentral describes it as "partial 16S ribosomal RNA". It matches the Rfam family "Bacterial small subunit ribosomal RNA", at positions 28 to 507 of the family's 1533-position model. The record is from RNAcentral.
GAUGAACGCUGGCGGCGUGCCUAAUACAUGCAAGUCGAGCGAACAGACGAGGAGCUUGCUCCUCUGACGUUAGCGGCGGACGGGUGAGUAACACGUGGAUAACCUACCUAUAAGACUGGGAUAACUUCGGGAAACCGGAGCUAAUACCGGAUAAUAUAUUGAACCGCAUGGUUCAAUAGUGAAAGACGGUUUUGCUGUCACUUAUAGAUGGAUCCGCGCCGCAUUAGCUAGUUGGUAAGGUAACGGCUUACCAAGGCAACGAUGCGUAUCCGACCUGAGAGGGUGAUCGGCCACACUGGAACUGAGACGCGGUCCAGACUCCUACGGGAGGCAGCAGUAGGGAAUCUUCCGCAAUGGGCGAAAGCCUGACGGAGCAACGCCGCGUGAGUGAUGAAGGUCUUCGGAUCGUAAAACUCUGUUAUUAGGGAAGAACAAAUGUGUAAGUAACUAUGCACGUCUUGACGGUACCUAAUCAGAAAGCCACGGCUAACUACGUG